RNAcentral lists this transfer RNA (93 nucleotides) under compost metagenome. RNAcentral's name for it is "tRNA-Phe". The record is from RNAcentral.
CGUGAGCUUGUCAGGGAUGGUGGGAGGUUUUAAAAAAUCAUCGAUGAUGGAUUGAGCCUCAGCAUGACGUCGGUUCAAUACCAGUGCCCAGGC